This 163-nucleotide small nuclear RNA is filed under the name Sorex araneus (European shrew). Its description in RNAcentral is "U1 spliceosomal RNA (ENSSARG00000020040.1)". It matches the Rfam family "U1 spliceosomal RNA". Rfam says of the family: U1 is a small nuclear RNA (snRNA) component of the spliceosome (involved in pre-mRNA splicing). Lineage: Eukaryota; Metazoa; Chordata; Mammalia; Eulipotyphla; Soricidae. The record is from RNAcentral.
AUAUCUAUCUGCGCGUGAUUCAACAGAGGAAAGAUAAGCAGUUUUUCCCAGGCCAGGCCUAUCCCAUUGCACUCAAGAUAUGCUGACCCCUGCAGUCGCCCCAGAUGUGGAAAACUCCCGUGCAUAAUUUAUGGUAGUGGGUGACUGCAUUCACAUUCUCCCC